UACAGAGGUGCCAAGCGUUGUUCGGAUUUAUUGGGCGUAAAGGGUGCGUAGGUGGUGAUACAAGUCGGAUGUGAAAUCCCGGAGCCUAACUCCGGAACUGCAUUCGAAACUGUAUCGCUCGAGGUCUGGAGAGGUGACUGGAAUUCUCGGUGUAGCAGUGAAAUGCGUAGAUAUCGAGAGGAACGCCAGAGGCGAAGGCGAGUCACUGGACAGAUUCUGACACUGAGGCACGAAAGCCAGGGGAGCAAACGGG
RNAcentral lists this ribosomal RNA (253 nucleotides) under uncultured prokaryote. Its description in RNAcentral is "partial 16S ribosomal RNA". It matches the Rfam family "Bacterial small subunit ribosomal RNA", at positions 524 to 776 of the family's 1533-position model. The record is from RNAcentral.